RNAcentral lists this ribosomal RNA (312 nucleotides) under Triticum aestivum (bread wheat). RNAcentral's name for it is "partial small subunit ribosomal RNA". The record is from RNAcentral. Lineage: Eukaryota; Viridiplantae; Streptophyta; Magnoliopsida; Poales; Poaceae.
AUGGGGAAGCGGAAGUCGACGCGCGCGAAGACGGCGCCGCGGAAGAAGGCGGAGAAGCUGGACACGUCCUUCUGCUGCCCCUUCUGCAACCACCCCGACAGCAUCGACUGCAAGAUCGACCUCAAGCACAUGGUGGCCGAGGCCUCGUGCAGCACCUGCAGCGAGAGCUACUCCACCACGGCGCACGCCCUCACCGAGCCCGUCGACGUCUACGCCGAGUGGAUCGACGAGUGCGAGAAGGCCAACGCCGACCGGGACGAGGCCAGCAACGACGUCGUUCGGGAAGAGGUGGACGACGACGAGUACGCAUGA